RNAcentral lists this transfer RNA (91 nucleotides) under Phycisphaerae bacterium. RNAcentral's name for it is "tRNA-Ser". It matches the Rfam family "tRNA". Rfam says of the family: Transfer RNA (tRNA) molecules are approximately 80 nucleotides in length. Their secondary structure includes four short double-helical elements and three loops (D, anti-codon, and T loops). The record is from RNAcentral. Lineage: Bacteria; Pseudomonadati; Planctomycetota; Phycisphaerae. RNAcentral also lists the same sequence under 2 other names.
GGACAGAUGGCCGAGUGGCUGAAGGCGCUGGUUUGCUAAACCGGUGUACAGGGUAAUUCUUGUACCGCGGGUUCGAAUCCCGCUCUGUCCU